AAAGUCCUCCAACACA
Molecule: transfer RNA, 16 nt
Filed under: Allobates juanii
Lineage: Eukaryota; Metazoa; Chordata; Amphibia; Anura; Aromobatidae
Description: partial tRNA-Phe
Source: RNAcentral